RNAcentral lists this ribosomal RNA (253 nucleotides) under uncultured bacterium. RNAcentral's name for it is "partial 16S ribosomal RNA". It matches the Rfam family "Bacterial small subunit ribosomal RNA", at positions 524 to 776 of the family's 1533-position model. The record is from RNAcentral.
AACGUAGGAGACAAACGUUAUCCGGAGUUACUGGGCGUAAAGGGCGUGUAGGUGGUGCUGUAAGUCUGGCGUGAAAUUUUUCGGCUUAACCGGGAAAGGUCGUCGGAUACUGCAGGACUAGAGGACGGUAGAGGCGUGUGGAAUUCCGGGUGUAGUGGUGAAAUGCGCAGAUAUCAGGAGGAACACCGGUGGCGAAGGCGCUGCUCUGGGCCGGUACUGACGCUGAGGAGCGAAAGCGUGGGUAGCAAACAGG